RNAcentral lists this long non-coding RNA (560 nucleotides) under Setaria viridis. RNAcentral's name for it is "long non-coding RNA (SVIR_LNC009475)". Lineage: Eukaryota; Viridiplantae; Streptophyta; Magnoliopsida; Poales; Poaceae. The record is from RNAcentral.
GGCGUUGAUGGGAUAUAGCACUCGCUCUCUUGGUAAGUGGGCUUGGCUAAGACACUAUACCCUCUAGGGGACUGCUAUGUUUCGCUUCGACCUGAAACCUUAGCGGGUUACCACAUUGCUAGCGAAUCUUUGUAAAGGCCUCGUAGCGUCCCUAUGCAAUCACACCUCGGAAGUGUGGUAUUGUGCCUGAUCAGCACAAGCGUGGUUGGGUCUAAAGUUCUUUUGAGCUUUUACGCGACUUGUGGGUAAAGAUGUGCAACCUCUGCAGAGUGUAAAACUGAUCGAUCAGCCGUGCUCACGGUUAAGAGCGGCCUGGACCCUCACAUGAUUAAUAUACUUGAAGAUGGACUUAAAUCGUGCUUAUGGCUUAUGGUUAUGUUUCUGCCAUGUGCUUAUGGCUUAUGGUUAUGUUUCUAUUAAUUGUGGGUUGGUAUAUACUUAUACCUUAGUAAUCAGGUGCUAAUAAAAUUUGACCAACUAAAAAUGCUUAAUGCAGUCAACCAGUCAGCCUUUCCUUGUUUAAGCCUUGCAUUCAUAUUCUCCUCACACUUGCUGAGUAC